Fukomys damarensis (Damara mole-rat) is the source of this 261-nucleotide unclassified non-coding RNA. Its record names the gene 7SK. It matches the Rfam family "7SK RNA". Rfam says of the family: 7SK was discovered as an abundant small nuclear RNA in the mid-70s but a possible function has only recently been suggested. NCBI's taxonomy places the organism in Eukaryota, Metazoa, Chordata, Mammalia, Rodentia, Bathyergidae. The record is from Ensembl.
GCUUCAGGGUUGACUCUGGCUGCCAGGUGGUGUCCCCUUCCUGCCUCACCGCUGCAUUGAGUCCCUCCGGAAGCUGGGCGCUGGUGGGAGAGGACACCCACCGGGAUAGGGGAGCCCUGUCCUCAGCCAAGGGAGCCCAAGUAGCUGCGCUUCCCUGCUAGACCCUCCAAAAAGCUCUCAUACUCUCCUUGGAAGUUUCCUGUUGGAUCAGUAGUACCUAAGUGACCACACUUAAAUCUUCUUAGUUGACUCUACAUAAUU